RNAcentral lists this ribosomal RNA (497 nucleotides) under uncultured bacterium. Its description in RNAcentral is "partial 16S ribosomal RNA". It matches the Rfam family "Bacterial small subunit ribosomal RNA", at positions 28 to 507 of the family's 1533-position model. The record is from RNAcentral.
GAUGAACGCUGGCGGCGUGCCUAAUACAUGCAAGUCGAGCGAACGGACGAGAAGCUUGCUUCUCUGAUGUUAGCGGCGGACGGGUGAGUAACACGUGGAUAACCUACCUAUAAGACUGGGAUAACUUCGGGAAACCGGAGCUAAUACCGGAUAAUAUUUUGAACCGCAUGGUUCAAAAGUGAAAGACGGUCUUGCUGUCACUUAUAGAUGGAUCCGCGCUGCAUUAGCUAGUUGGUAAGGUAACGGCUUACCAAGGCAACGAUGCAUAGCCGACCUGAGAGGGUGAUCGGCCACACUGGAACUGGGACACGGUCCAGACUCCUACGGGAGGCAGCAGUAGGGAAUCUUCCGCAAUGGGCGAAAGCCUGACGGAGCAACGCCGCGUGAGCGAUGAAGGUCUUCGGAUCGUAAAACUCUGUUAUUAGGGAAGAACAUAUGUGUAAGUAACUGUGCACAUCUUGACGGUACCUAAUCAGAAAGCCACGGCUAACUACGUG